RNAcentral lists this ribosomal RNA (250 nucleotides) under uncultured bacterium. RNAcentral's name for it is "partial 16S ribosomal RNA". It matches the Rfam family "Bacterial small subunit ribosomal RNA", at positions 355 to 602 of the family's 1533-position model. The record is from RNAcentral.
UGAGGAAUAUUGGUCAAUGGACGGAAGUCUGAACCAGCCAUGCCGCGUGAAGGAUGAAGGCGUUAUGCGUUGUAAACUUCUUUUAUAUGGGGAGAAACCACUUUUUUCCAAGAGUGUUGACGGUACCAUAGGAAUAAGCACCGGCUAACUCCGUGCCAGCAGCCGCGGUAAUACGGAGGGUGCAAGCGUUAUCCGGAUUUACUGGGUUUAAAGGGUGUGUAGGCGGACUGUUAAGUCAGUGGUGAAAUCU